AACCUGCCCUGAAGCGGGGGAUAACAUCUGGAAACAGGUGCUAAUACCGCAUAACAACGAAAACCACAUGGUUUCGUUUCAAAGAUGGUUUCGGCUAUCACUCAGGAUGGGCCCGCGGUGCAUUAGCUAGUUGGUAGGGUAAAGGCUUACCAAGGCGAUGAUGCAUAGCCGAGUUGAGAGACUGAUCGGCCACAUUGGGACUGAGACACGGCCCAAACUCCUACGGGAGGCAGCAGUA
Molecule: ribosomal RNA, 238 nt
Filed under: uncultured Lactobacillus sp.
Lineage: Bacteria; Bacillati; Bacillota; Bacilli; Lactobacillales; Lactobacillaceae
Description: partial 16S ribosomal RNA
Rfam family: Bacterial small subunit ribosomal RNA
Source: RNAcentral